UGGGGGAUAUUGCACAAUGGGGGAAACCCUGAUGCAGCGACGCCGCGUGAGCGAUGAAGUAUUUCGGUAUGUAAAGCUCUAUCAGCAGGGAAGAAAAUGACGGUACCUGACUAAGAAGCCCCGGCUAACUACGUGCCAGCAGCCGCGGUAAUACGUAGGGGGCAAGCGUUAUCCGGAUUUACUGGGUGUAAAGGGAGCGUAGACGGCUGCGCAAGUCUGAAGUGAAAGGCGGGGGCUCAACCCCCGGACUGCUUUGGAAACUGUACAGCUAGAGUGUCGGAGAGGCAAGUGGAAUUCCUAGUGUAGCGGUGAAAUGCGUAGAUAUUAGGAGGAACACCAGUGGCGAAGGCGGCUUGCUGGACGAUGACUGACGUUGAGGCUCGAAAGCGUGGGGAGCAAACAGG
RNAcentral lists this ribosomal RNA (404 nucleotides) under uncultured bacterium. RNAcentral describes it as "bacterial SSU rRNA". It matches the Rfam family "Bacterial small subunit ribosomal RNA", at positions 355 to 776 of the family's 1533-position model. The record is from RNAcentral.